This is a long non-coding RNA of Apodemus sylvaticus (European woodmouse), 786 nucleotides long. RefSeq lists it as uncharacterized. The transcript has 3 exons. NCBI's taxonomy places the organism in Eukaryota, Metazoa, Chordata, Mammalia, Rodentia, Muridae. The record is from RefSeq and is a predicted model, not a curated record.
AAAGUGCAGGAUUCCCUCUUCUUGUGGAGUAAAAUUAGACUCCGGUGAAAUUUGUGAGUGACUGCGCUUACUCAGAAAUUCUCCCCAUGGGGAAAGCGCAAUGCCUUCACUCAUAAAAAGAGAGAAUCGCCCACGGUCUAAAUGACUGUGGACUUUUGACAGUAUGACCAUGGAAGGCAACAGACACAGCCCCACGACUCAGGAGAAAUGAGCAGAAAAGGAGCCUGAGAAAGCACGCCGCUUCUGCCGCUCCCAGGGACGCCACACACAUCUGUGCUUCCCCUCCGAGGCCAGACUGAUUCACUUGGCACCCACUGCAUUUUAGUAAAUGGACUCAAUAAAACAUCCCUGUGAAGCAGAUUCAGAAUAUGAAGGCUUCAGGAAUUCCACAGAGAAGACCUGGACCUAUAGUUCCUGUGUGCUUUCUUCUGGUGUUCAGUGCACUCAAAACUAGCUUCAUCCAGCCUGAAUCCACGAGAACAGCCACAGGUGGGAGGCCGCUACUUCCGGAGACCAGGCACACCACUGUUCGUUGUUGUCUAGCAUGUGACUGUCUGGUUAUCAUCUUCCUCGACCAAGAGAAUAGUUCUGUAAUUGGCUCUUUCAUUCUAAUCUGAUUCUUUAUUCUACCUCACGAAGUAAUACUGGAGGGAGCUACUCUGUGAAUAAGCUCAAAAUUCCCCUGCUUUGGGUCUCAAUCUCAAAGUCUUAGUAGGUUUGUCAAGAUAAGGCUAUAGCUGGGAGAAAUUACCAAUGUCAAUAAUACCAAUGUCAAUAAAAGGCUAU